UGAACGCUAGCGACAGGCCUAACACAUGCAAGUCAGGGGCAGCACAAGGAGCAAUCUGAGGUGGCGACCGGCGCACGGGUGAGUAACACGUAUGCAACCUGCCUGUAAGCGGGGAAUAACCCGUUGAAAGACGGACUAAUACCGCAUAAUACUAAAUUACUGCAUGGUAAUUUAUUUAAACAUUUAUGGCUUACAGAUGGGCAUGCGCAUGAUUAGCUAGUUGGAGAGGUAACGGCUCCCCAAGGCAACGAUCAUUAGGGGUUCUGAGAGGAAGGUCCCCCACACUGGUACUGAGACACGGACCAGACUCCUACGGGAGGCAGCAGUGAGGAAUAUUGGUCAAUGGACGAGAGUCUGAACCAGCCAAGUCGCGUGCAGGAAGAAUGUCCUAAUGGAUUGUAAACUGCUUUUGCAGGGGAAUAAAGUGCAUCACGUGUGAUGUUUUGUAUGUACUCUGCGAAUAAGGAUCGGCUAACUCCGUGCCAGCAGCGGC
This 493-nucleotide ribosomal RNA is filed under the name uncultured bacterium. RNAcentral's name for it is "bacterial SSU rRNA". It matches the Rfam family "Bacterial small subunit ribosomal RNA", at positions 30 to 518 of the family's 1533-position model. The record is from RNAcentral.